GAUGAAGAACGCAGCGAAAUGCGAUACGUAAUGUGAAUUGCAGAAUUCAGUGAAUCAUCGAGUCUUUGAACGCACAUUGCGCCCCCUGGUAUUCCGGGGGGCAUGCCUGUCCGCGCGUCAUUGCUGCCCUCAAGCACGGCUUGUGUGUUGGGCCUCCGUCCUCCUCCCGGGGGACGGGCCCGAAAGGCAGCGGCGGCACCGCGUCCGGUCCUCGAGCGUAUGGGGCUUCGUCACCCGCUCUUGUAGGCCCGGCCGGCGCUUGCCGACACAUCAAUCUUUUUUCCAGGUUGACCUCGGAUCAGGUAGGGAUACCCGCUGAACUUAAGCAUAUCAAUAAGCGGAGGA
Molecule: unclassified non-coding RNA, 345 nt
Filed under: soil metagenome
Description: partial contains 5.8S ribosomal RNA, internal transcribed spacer 2, and large subunit ribosomal RNA
Rfam family: 5.8S ribosomal RNA (bases 1-120)
Source: RNAcentral